UAGGUCCUACGGGACGCAGCAGUGGGGGAUAUUGCACAAUGGGGGAAACCCUGAUGCAGCAACGCCGCGUGAGUGAAGAAGGUCUUCGGAUUGUAAAGCUCUGUUCUUGGUGAAGAUAAUGACGGUAGCCAAGGAGAAAGCUCCGGCUAACUACGUGCCAGCAGCCGCGGUAAUACGUAGGGAGCGAGCGUUGUCCGGAUUUACUGGGAGUAAAGGGUGCGCAGGAGGCUCUGCAAGUCAGGCGUGAAAGCUAGGGGCUCAACCCCUAAACUGCGCUUGAAACUGUGGAGCUUGAGAGAAGUAGA
Molecule: ribosomal RNA, 305 nt
Filed under: uncultured bacterium
Lineage: Bacteria
Description: bacterial SSU rRNA
Rfam family: Bacterial small subunit ribosomal RNA
Source: RNAcentral